UCGAUAAGGGCUUGAUAGCACGAGCAGC
RNAcentral lists this non-coding RNA (28 nucleotides) under Bombyx mori (domestic silkworm). Lineage: Eukaryota; Metazoa; Arthropoda; Insecta; Lepidoptera; Bombycidae. The record is from RNAcentral.